Molecule: transfer RNA, 71 nt
Filed under: Loxodonta africana (African savanna elephant)
Lineage: Eukaryota; Metazoa; Chordata; Mammalia; Proboscidea; Elephantidae
Rfam family: tRNA
About the family: Transfer RNA (tRNA) molecules are approximately 80 nucleotides in length. Their secondary structure includes four short double-helical elements and three loops (D, anti-codon, and T loops).
Source: Rfam by way of RNAcentral
GCAAUGUUGGUUCAGUGGUAGAAUUCUUGCUUCCCAGGAGAGAGACCUAGGUCCGAUUCCUGGCCAAUGCA